GAUGAACGCUGGCGGCGCGCCUAAUACAUGCAAGUCGAGCGAACAGAUAAGGAGCUUGCUCCUUUGACGUUAGCGGCGGACGGGUGAGUAACACGUGGGUAACCUACCUAUAAGACUGGGAUAACUUCGGGAAACCGGAGCUAAUACCGGAUAAUAUUUCGAACCGCAUGGUUCGAUAGUGAAAGAUGGUUUUGCUAUCACUUAUAGAUGGACCCGCGCCGUAUUAGCUAGUUGGUAAGGUAACGGCUUACCAAGGCGACGAUACGUAGCCGACCUGAGAGGGUGAUCGGCCACACUGGAACUGAGACACGGUCCAGACUCCUACGGGAGGCAGCAGUAGGGAAUCUUCCGCAAUGGGCGAAAGCCUGACGGAGCAACGCCGCGUGAGUGAUGAAGGUCUUCGGAUCGUAAAACUCUGUUAUUAGGGAAGAACAUAAGUGUAAGUAACUGUGCACGUCUUGACGGUACCUAAUCAGAAAGCCACGGCUAACUACGUG
RNAcentral lists this ribosomal RNA (497 nucleotides) under uncultured bacterium. RNAcentral's name for it is "partial 16S ribosomal RNA". It matches the Rfam family "Bacterial small subunit ribosomal RNA", at positions 28 to 507 of the family's 1533-position model. The record is from RNAcentral.